RNAcentral lists this unclassified non-coding RNA (1032 nucleotides) under Hevea brasiliensis (rubber tree). The record is from RNAcentral. Lineage: Eukaryota; Viridiplantae; Streptophyta; Magnoliopsida; Malpighiales; Euphorbiaceae.
GGCCAGGAGGUGCGCCUAUGCCAAAUUUCUUUGUGCCACUAGUUCAGCAGGGUCAGCAGGGCCAGCGCCCUGGAGGGCGACGUGGAGUAGGUCACAUGCAACAGACCCAGCAACCUGUCCCUCUGAUGCAUCAGCAGAUGCUUCCUAGGGGACGUGUCUAUCGAUACCCACCCGGUCGCAACAUGCCAGAUGUUCCAAUGGCAGUUCCUGCUGGAGGUAUGCUGUCUGCUCCCUAUGAUAUGGGUGGCAUGCCAAUUAGAGAUGCUGCUGCAGGACAGCCUAUGCCCAUUACUGCUUUGGCUACAGCCCUUGCGAAUGCUACCCUUGAACAGCAAAGGACGGUAGGCCCAUCUAUGUUCUUUUUUUCUCAUAUUUUUCUCUGUGCUGCUUCCAAAUUUUUGUUGGUUCUUUGGACUUGAAAAGUUUCUGAUUUUUUCCUUGGUUUUGUUGACAUUUAGCUACUGGGUGAAAGUCUCUACCCUUUAGUGGAUCAGUUGGAGCAUGAUUCAGCAGCCAAGGUUACAGGCAUGCUUUUGGAGAUGGAUCAGACUGAGGUUUUACACCUGCUUGAAUCACCGGAGGCUUUAAAGGCUAAAGUAGCAGAGGCUAUGGAGGUGCUAAGGAGUGUUGCUGCUCAGCAGCAGGCAACAAACCCUGUUGAUCAGCUUGCCUCACUAUCCCUGAAUGAUGGUCUCAUCUCAUGAAGUAUGUUUUUGGUGAAUUAAACAGGUUCAUCAAGUGGGUUUUGUUGCAGUUUUUAAAACUAGUUUUAUUGGCUAAGCAGAUGAAAAUUUGAUUCUAUGCCAGAUUUAUAUAUGGGCUUAAGUAGGUUGUUGGGACUUGUUUUUUUGCUUCAUUAUUGGUCUGGGCAGGAUUCUAAAUAUUUUGUGGAACGAGAUACAUUUUGUUUGAGGAAAUGGUCAUGUUGACUGAUUUGCACAGAUUUUUAUAAUAAUGUGGCACAUUUGGUUUGUCCUAGAUCAGUUAAUGUUUUGUUGCUGCGUUAUUUGUGAUAAUAUUUUAUUAGCUUCA